CCUUGAGCACGGACAGCCUGGAUCUGCUGGGUAAAGGGAGAAGUUAUGUCCAGGGUGGGACAGAGAGGACGGCGAGAGAUUUCCUCACUACUCAGAACAGCGGGAAAUUCAAAACUUAGGGAUUAUUUCUGAAAUUUUCCAUUUAAAAUUUUCUAUUUAAAAUUGACGAAGGGUAACUGAAACCAGAGAAAGCAAGACUGACGAUAAGGGAGGGGCCUCCUGUACUCCAAGAGCACUGAAUCUGGAAAAACUCAACACAUCGAUGGAGUCAUAUAUUUAAUUUUUUCUUAAAAGCCGCCUGCGGGGUAUUGUAGAAACGCUGCGCUGCCUAUCACAGCUUGUGAUGUGACACGUUCAUUCUGCAAGUUUAAACUUCGCCUAGCAAAUCUUUAUGAGCAUCUACUAUGCAUCAUGCUGUUCUCGUGAACAAAACAAGAUCCAUAUCCUGAGGGAGUGUGCCUUCCAGCAGAGAAAGACGGCAGUGUGUAAGGAGCGUUAGAAGAAGAUGUUGUCUUUUGUGUGUAGAAAGUGGUAUGUAAAAGUGAAAAAUAAAAAGAAAUAGAGCAGAAUCAGGGA
This 576-nucleotide long non-coding RNA is filed under the name Homo sapiens (human). Its description in RNAcentral is "non-protein coding lnc-IPO5-1:16". The record is from RNAcentral. Lineage: Eukaryota; Metazoa; Chordata; Mammalia; Primates; Hominidae.